UAAGCACUCCACAGUCACUGUACGGUACUGUCAUCUCAUGGUUGAGAAUUUCCCGAGGGAAGGGGGAGUGCUCUUCUACAAUUCUGUUCAAAUCCUAUCUGUGAAUCCUACACAAUCUCUGCCCUGUCUGCUUUCAAUAGAGCGUAUACAUGCAGCUCAGGCAGGCGCUGGAAUGAACCUUGGCUACUCGUAGCAGCGCAAUUCACAGCAUUAACAGUAUGACGUCAUUUUCAACCAAGACUAAACUGCUACCUCAUUGCAGUCCUUCAUGCCAUGGAAGCAAUUAGGUCAGUUAGAAUUCAAGGGCCCCGUGAGAGGAAGCCAAAUAGCUGCCUCAUCUCCUGUGGCCAAGAAAAUCCGCCGCUACUGUAGAGCAUCUUUUCACCUCUGGAGUCCCAGACACAGAGCCGAUGCAGUCUUCUACCAAGUCUUCUACUAGGGAGAUGGCCUCGAAGAUUGCAGGACUGCUCUACUCAUGGAUCGCCUCAAAAUGGUGAUGCCAGACGUAGCAGGAAUCCAAAGAGUGGCGCAUAUAUGGGUGCUGGCAGCAGGAUGUCAAAGGUGUAGCUUAUUGCCCUGUGGAGGCGCCUGUACAAAGGCACAAAAUUGACCUCAGAUGUCGUAUUUAUAAGCAACAAGUUUAAGGCAACCCCGGAAAUGAAAGACAAUAUACUACUAGCGUGCAUGGGCAGUCUAAAGAAAUUGUGGUGUGCAUCCCGCAAUGGCAUUUACAGUCCAUGGUGAGAGUGUAUGAAGAUGAACUGCAAAUUGAGGAGCUGAGUGGAUGCACCUCCUCUUCUGGGUCCGCUUCUUAAGUUCUUCUUUCAAGUGGUGAUACAAUGCGCAG
This 847-nucleotide long non-coding RNA is filed under the name Coccomyxa subellipsoidea. RNAcentral describes it as "long non-coding RNA (CSUB_LNC000792)". The record is from RNAcentral. Lineage: Eukaryota; Viridiplantae; Chlorophyta; Trebouxiophyceae; Coccomyxaceae.